GAAUCGCGAUAAGUAAUGUGAAUUGCAGAUUUUCAGUGAAUCAUCGAAUCUUUGAACGCACCUUGCGCUCCUUGGUAUUCCAAGGAGCAUGCCUGUUUGAGUGUCAUUUUCGUUCUCAACCAACGGAGGGAUUCGUUGGCUUGGAGUUGGGAGUUGCUGGCUUCGUUCAGCUGUCCUGAAAGACAUUAGGCUAACGUGCACGGCUUUCAGGCGUGAUAAUGAUCGCCUUGGCUGGAGCGUGGCUUGAAUUAUCUUUAACCCCCCUUGACCUUGACCUCAAAUCAGGUAGGACUACCCGCUGAACUUAA
This 308-nucleotide ribosomal RNA is filed under the name Retiboletus nigerrimus. RNAcentral describes it as "eukaryotic LSU rRNA". The stretch from base 1 to 106 matches the Rfam family "5.8S ribosomal RNA", at positions 50 to 154 of the family's 154-position model. Lineage: Eukaryota; Fungi; Basidiomycota; Agaricomycetes; Boletales; Boletaceae. The record is from RNAcentral.